Molecule: ribosomal RNA, 554 nt
Filed under: uncultured bacterium
Lineage: Bacteria
Description: bacterial SSU rRNA
Rfam family: Bacterial small subunit ribosomal RNA
Source: RNAcentral
CACGUGAGCAACCUGGCUCUAAGAGGGGGACAACAGUUGGAAACGACUGCUAAUACCGCAUAACGUAUCGGGAUGGCAUCUUCCUGAUACCAAAGAUUUUAUCGCUUAGAGAUGGGCUCGCGUCUGAUUAGAUAGUUGGCGGGGUAACGGCCCACCAAGUCGACGAUCAGUAGCCGAACUGAGAGGUUGAACGGCCACAUUGGGACUGAGACACGGCCCAGACUCCUACGGGAGGCAGCAGUGGGGGAUAUUGGACAAUGGGGGCAACCCUGAUCCAGCGACGCCGCGUGAGGGAAGAAGGUUUUCGGAUUGUAAACCUCUGUUGACGGAGAAAAAAAUGAUGGUAUCCGUUUAGAAAGCCACGGCUAACUACGUGCCAGCAGCCGCGGUAAUACGUAGGUGGCAAGCGUUGUCCGGAAUUACUGGGUGUAAAGGGAGUGUAGGCGGGAUGUCAAGUCAGAAGUGAAAAUUACGGGCUCAACUCGUAACCUGCUUUUGAAACUGACAUUCUUGAGUGAAGUAGAGGCAAGCGGAAUUCCUAGUGUAGCGGUGAA